RNAcentral lists this ribosomal RNA (228 nucleotides) under uncultured bacterium. RNAcentral describes it as "partial 16S ribosomal RNA". It matches the Rfam family "Bacterial small subunit ribosomal RNA", at positions 103 to 334 of the family's 1533-position model. The record is from RNAcentral.
CGGGUGAGUGAUGUAUGGGGAUCUGCCUGAUGGCGGGGGAUAACUACUGGAAACGGUAGCUAAUACCGCAUAACGUCGCAAGACCAAAGAGGGGGACCUUAGGGCCUCUUGCCAUCGGAUGUGCCCAGAUGGGAUUAGCUAGUAGGUGGGGUAACGGCUUACCUAGGCGACGAUCCCUAGCUGGUCUGAGAGGAUGAUCAGCCACACUGGGACUGAGACACGGCCCAG